GAGGAAAGCUGGCGGCGUGCCUAAUACAUGCAAGUCGAGCGAACAGACGAGGAGCUUGCUCCUCUGACGUUAGCGGCGGACGGGUGAGUAACACGUGGAUAACCUACCUAUAAGACUGGGAUAACUUCGGGAAACCGGAGCUAAUACCGGAUAAUAUAUUGAACCGCAUGGUUCAAUAGUGAAAGACGGUUUUGCUGUCACUUAUAGAUGGAUCCGCGCCGCAUUAGCUAGUUGGUAAGGUAACGGCUUACCAAGGCAACGAUGCGUAGCCGACCUGAGAGGGUGAUCGGCCACACUGGAACUGAGACACGGUCCAGACUCCUACGGGAGGCAGCAGUAGGGAAUCUUCCGCAAUGGGCGAAAGCCUGACGGAGCAACGCCGCGUGAAUGAUGAAGGUCUUCGGAUCGUAAAACUCUGUUAUUAGGGAAGAACAAAUGUGUAAGUAACUAUGCACGUCUUGACGGUACCUAAUCAGAAAGCCACGGCUAACUACGUG
Molecule: ribosomal RNA, 497 nt
Filed under: uncultured bacterium
Lineage: Bacteria
Description: partial 16S ribosomal RNA
Rfam family: Bacterial small subunit ribosomal RNA
Source: RNAcentral